GUACUUGUGGCUCAGUUGGUAGAGCAUGGUGUUUGCAACGCCAGGGUUGUGGGUUCGAUUCCCACGGGGGACC
Molecule: transfer RNA, 73 nt
Filed under: Salmo salar (Atlantic salmon)
Lineage: Eukaryota; Metazoa; Chordata; Actinopteri; Salmoniformes; Salmonidae
Rfam family: tRNA
About the family: Transfer RNA (tRNA) molecules are approximately 80 nucleotides in length.
Source: Rfam by way of RNAcentral